Molecule: ribosomal RNA, 441 nt
Filed under: uncultured bacterium
Lineage: Bacteria
Description: partial 16S ribosomal RNA
Rfam family: Bacterial small subunit ribosomal RNA
Source: RNAcentral
CCUACGGGAGGCAGCAGUGGGGAAUAUUGGGCAAUGGGCGAAAGCCUGACCCAGCAACGCCGCGUGAAGGAAGAAGGCUUUCGGGUUGUAAACUUCUUUUGACAGGGAAGAGCAGUAGACGGUGCCUGUCGAAUAAGCCACGGCUAACUACGUGCCAGCAGCCGCGGUAAUACGUAGGUGGCAAGCGUUGUCCGGAUUUAUUGGGUUUAAAGGGUUGGUAGGCGGGCAUUUAAGCCGGCGGUCAAAUUUCGGGGCCCAACCUCGGCCUGCCGUCGGAACUGGGUGUCUUGAGUGGGCGAGAAGUAUGCGGAAUGCGUGGUGUAGCGGUGAAAUGCAUAGAUAUCACGCAGAACCCCGAUUGCGAAGGCAGCAUACCGGCGCCCUACUGACGCUGAGGCACGAAAGUGUGGGUAUCGAACAGGAUUAGAUACCCGAGUAGUC